UUCUUUACUUCAUCAAAAGAAGAGAUAACCUAUUAUAUUAGUUACUUCGUGAGAGAUUUGAUCAUUCAUGAAUAGGCUUACUUAUAUUUUUCUUCAUUUUUUUAGGCAGUGGAACAGUUCUUUCAGCAUUUCUCAGUCAAGAGGAGUCAUUUUGCAAUGGUGAAAUAAGAUCAUGCAUGUAGUUUUCAGGCUACAUGAUGUUGUGUGGUGAAUCAUCCAAAAAGCUAUGUAUUUUUGGAGGAUACAACACGAGGGUGGCAAUAUUUUUGAAAGGUUUGAGGGUGGCAAGAUAAAUUUUAGAAUAACCAG
RNAcentral lists this long non-coding RNA (309 nucleotides) under Solanum tuberosum (potato). RNAcentral's name for it is "long non-coding RNA (STUB_LNC001015)". The record is from RNAcentral. Lineage: Eukaryota; Viridiplantae; Streptophyta; Magnoliopsida; Solanales; Solanaceae.